Molecule: small nuclear RNA, 62 nt
Organism: Callithrix jacchus (white-tufted-ear marmoset)
Lineage: Eukaryota; Metazoa; Chordata; Mammalia; Primates; Cebidae
Gene: U7
Rfam family: U7 small nuclear RNA
About the family: Animal histone pre-mRNAs are spliced by a different mechanism than nuclear pre-mRNAs and self-splicing introns. This processing involves the U7 snRNP, which contains only one RNA species: U7.
Source: Ensembl
UAGUAUUACAACUCCUUUAGAUUUUGUUUAGAAGCUUUUCUGAUCUCUACCAGAAAGCCUCC